Molecule: long non-coding RNA, 315 nt
Organism: Callorhinchus milii (elephant shark)
Lineage: Eukaryota; Metazoa; Chordata; Chondrichthyes; Chimaeriformes; Callorhinchidae
Exons: 4
Source: RefSeq, a predicted model, not a curated record
AGAGUGAAGCAUAUCAGUGUAGCAGCAUAUCAUUGACAUUGAAUUGGGAGCUGUUGUGAUCCAGGAUGGGAGGUUAAAGAAGGCUCAUGGUCUGUGCCCAGCUGGCUCUUUGAAAGAGUAAUCUAGUGUGUGAUACAGAGGACAAAAGUCACCCUGCAAAAUGUGACCAUUAGCAUGUGUCGGCCUCGAGAUUGACUGAGCCUUCAAUUUAAAGAUGGUUUUCCUGUCCUGCCUGCCUUCCAGAUGGAUGUUAAAGAUCCCAAGAGUCUAAUUGAGAAGAGAAAGUGUGUUCCACCCGGUAUCCUGGCCAACAAU